This 952-nucleotide non-coding RNA is filed under the name Megalamphodus sweglesi. Its description in RNAcentral is "Hyphessobrycon sweglesi 12S ribosomal RNA". It matches the Rfam family "Bacterial small subunit ribosomal RNA". The record is from RNAcentral. Lineage: Eukaryota; Metazoa; Chordata; Actinopteri; Characiformes; Acestrorhamphidae.
AUUAUGCUUAAUGUCCCGACUUUACUGUCAGCUUCAGCUUAAAUUAUACAUGCAAGUAUCCGCACCCCUGUGAAAACGCCCUUAAUCCUCCACCCUAGGACGAGGAGCCGGCAUCAGGCACAGCACUAACGCUAGCCCAAGACGCCUCGCCACCGCCACACCCCCAAGGGAACUCAGCAGUAAUAAACAUUAAGCCAUAAGUGAAAACUUGACUUAAUUAGAGCUAUUUAGGGUUGGUAAAAUUCGUGCCAGCCGCCGCGGUUAGACGAUGGACCCUAGUUGACAGAGACGGCGUAAAGGGUGGUUAGGGGUAAUAAAAAAUAAAGUUAAACACUCUCCCAGCUGUUAUAAGCACUAUGAGAACACGAAACCCACCCACGAAAGUGACUUUACCCCCUCCUGACCCCACGAAAGCUAAGAAACAAACUGGGAUUAGAUACCCCACUAUGCUUAGCCUUAAACCUAGAUAUUAACACUACAAAAAUAUCCGCCAGGGUACUACAAGCGCUAGCUUAAAACCCAAAGGACUUGACGGUGUCUCAGACCCACCUAGAGGAGCCUGUCUAGACGAUACUCCCCGUUAACCUCAUCAUCCCUUGUUUUCGCAGCCUAUAUACCGCCGUCGCAAGCUUACCCCCUGAGGGAUAAACAGUAAGCAAAAUGGAUAUAACCCCCCAGAACGUCAGGUCGAGGUGUAGCUCACGGGAUGAGAAGAGAUGGGCUACAUUUUCUAAUUUAGAAUAAACGAAUGGCAUCAUGAAAUUGAUACCUGAAGGUGGAUUUAGUAGUAAAAAUCAAAUAGAGAGUCAUUUUGAACCAGGCUCUGAGAUGCGCACACACCGCCCGUCGCCCUCCCCUAAAGAAUUCAGAAAUGUAAAUAACCAAAUAACUCACCAAACGGGGAGAUAAGUCGUAACAUGGUAAGUGUACCGGAAGGUGUACUUGGAACAUC